AGCGAACGCUGGCGGCAGGCCUAACACAUGCAAGUCGAACGGAUCCUUCGGGAUUAGUGGCGGACGGGUGAGUAACACGUGGGAACGUGCCCUUUGGUUCGGAACAACUCAGGGAAACUUGAGCUAAUACCGGAUGUGCCCUUCGGGGGAAAGAUUUAUCGCCAUUGGAGCGGCCCGCGUCUGAUUAGCUAGUUGGUGAGGUAACGGCCCACCAAGGCGACGAUCAGUAGCUGGUCUGAGAGGAUGAUCAGCCACACUGGGACUGGGACACGGCCCAGACUCCUACGGGAGGCAGCAGUGGGGAAUCUUGCGCAAUGGGCGAAAGCCUGACGCAGCCAUGCCGCGUGAAUGAUGAAGGUCUUAGGGUUGUAAAGUUCUUUCAGCCGGGACGAUAAUGACGGUACCCGCAGAAGAAGCUCCGGCUAACUUCGUG
Molecule: ribosomal RNA, 433 nt
Filed under: uncultured bacterium
Lineage: Bacteria
Description: partial 16S ribosomal RNA
Rfam family: Bacterial small subunit ribosomal RNA
Source: RNAcentral